This 504-nucleotide ribosomal RNA is filed under the name uncultured bacterium. RNAcentral describes it as "partial 16S ribosomal RNA". It matches the Rfam family "Bacterial small subunit ribosomal RNA", at positions 28 to 507 of the family's 1533-position model. The record is from RNAcentral.
GACGAACGCUGGCGGCGUGCCUAAUACAUGCAAGUAGAACGCACAGUUUAUACCGUAGCUUGCUACACCAUAGACUGUGAGUUGCGAACGGGUGAGUAACGCGUAGGUAACCUGCCUGGUAGCGGGGGAUAACUAUUGGAAACGAUAGCUAAUACCGCAUAAUAUUGAUUAUUGCAUGAUAAUUAAUUGAAAGGUGCAAUUGCACCACUACCAGAUGGACCUGCGUUGUAUUAGCUAGUAGGUGAGGUAACGGCUCACCUAGGCAACGAUACAUAGCCGACCUGGAAGGGUGUCCGGCCCACCGGGAACUGGACAACGGCCCAAAUUCCUACGGGAGCCACAAGAGGGGAACCUCCGGCAAUGACCGAAAGCCUGACGGAGCAACGCGGCGUGAGUGAGGAGGGUGUCGGAUCGUAAAGCUCUGUUGUAAGAGAAGAACGGGUGUGAGAGUGGAAAGUUCACACUGUGACGGUAGCUUACCAGAAAGGGACGGCUAACUACGUG